RNAcentral lists this ribosomal RNA (254 nucleotides) under uncultured bacterium. RNAcentral's name for it is "partial 16S ribosomal RNA". It matches the Rfam family "Bacterial small subunit ribosomal RNA", at positions 524 to 776 of the family's 1533-position model. The record is from RNAcentral.
UACGGGAGGGGGCAAGCGUUUGUUCGGAAUUACUGGGCGUAAAGGGCUCGUAGGCGGCCAACUAAGUCGGAUGUGAAAUCCCCAGGCUCAACCUGGGAACUGCAUCCGAUACUGGAUGGCUUGAAUCCGGGAGAGGGAUGCGGAAUUCCAGGUGUAGCGGUGAAAUGCGUAGAUAUCGAGAGGAACACCUGCGGCGAGGCGGGUUGCUGGGCUGAUACUGACGCUGAGGCGCGAAAGCUAGGGGAGCGAACGGG